UAGGGAAUCUUCCGCAAUGGGCGAAAGCUUGACGGAGCAACGCCGCGUGAGUGAUGAAGGUCUUCGGAUCGUAAAACUCUGUUAUUAGGGAAGAACAAAUGUGUAAGUAACUAUGCACGUCUUGACGGUACCUAAUCAGAAAGCCACGGCUAACUACGUGCCAGCAGCCGCGGUAAUACGUAGGUGGCAAGCGUUAUCCGGAAUUAUUGGGGGUAAAGCGCGCGUAGGCGGUUUUUUAAGUCUGAUGUGAAAGCCCACGGCUCAACCGUGGAGGGUCAUUGGAAACUGGAAAACUUGAGUGCAGAAGAGGAAAGUGGAAUUCCAUGUAUAGCGGUGAAAUGCGCAGAGAUAUGGAGGAACACCAGUGGCGAAGGCGACUUUCUGGUCUGUAACUGACGCUGAUGUGCGAAAGCGUGGGGAUCAAACAGG
RNAcentral lists this ribosomal RNA (429 nucleotides) under Actinomycetes bacterium. RNAcentral describes it as "Actinobacteria bacterium partial 16S ribosomal RNA". It matches the Rfam family "Bacterial small subunit ribosomal RNA", at positions 355 to 776 of the family's 1533-position model. The record is from RNAcentral. Lineage: Bacteria; Bacillati; Actinomycetota; Actinomycetes.